Non-coding RNA from Cherax quadricarinatus, 3729 nucleotides. The record is from RefSeq and is a predicted model, not a curated record. NCBI's taxonomy places the organism in Eukaryota, Metazoa, Arthropoda, Malacostraca, Decapoda, Parastacidae.
CGUAGAGCUUCAGUUGCUCUCAGGAACUGAACGUGUGAGGGUAUUACACUUGUGCUCUCUCCUACCACUACCCAUGUACCCUCGCUAGUGUAAUCCUGUCUCGCUCACUUGAAGUAAAGGUAGUCUCAAUUAUUCCACUGAGUUGGCUGACAUAAAAGGAAUUGUGAAAUACGUCUAUGGCUUCCAGUGAGUGACGGUUGAGAAAAAUCACUUCCAAUACGCUAGUUUUCCUACUUAACUCAGCGAGUAUAUACAACUGACAGCUGCUCAAUUCAGCCAACAGACAGCACUGACAGUUUCUUCUCUUUAAUCUUUGCCAGCGUGAGAGAUGAAGACCCAAGAGUACGGGAACUUAGGACAAACUGACAGCAGGCAGAGGCCAGCCUGCUGUCAGUCUACUGCUGAUGCCAGCCAGCUGUCGAUCUACUGCUGAUGCCAGCCAGCUGUCGAUCUACCGCUGAUGCCAGCCUGCUGUCAGUCUAUGGCUGAUGCCAGCCUGCUGUCAGUCUACGGCUGAUGCCAGCCUGCUGUCAGUCUACGGCUGAUGCCAGCCUGCUGUCAGUCUACGGCUGAUGCCAGCCUGCUGUCAGUCUAUGGUUGAUACCAUCAUUUCGCUACCUUGUUGCAGGCCAACACUUACAUUGUUACUGUCAGUGUAUUCAUCAGAGAAAAACAGCUGAUGCGGAACUAGUUCAUCUGAUGACCCGUUCAGUGACUCCAUCACACAACAUCUAAGAACAGAAAAACGUGUCAUUGUUUAAACAAUCACGUCCGUGAUCAAGGUCACCAAGGGCGCAGGUUUAGGUAGUGUAUGUGAUCAGGUACCGUGUUUUCUGUACCGCUGGAAUUCCUAGGCCUUUAGUGUAUCCAUAAAUUCUUGCUGCUUUCCACAGGAUGGUUAUGGGGUGCACAAUAAUCUAGCUACUGCCGUCCACAGGAUGGUUAUGGGGUGCACAAUAAACUAGCCGCUACCAUCCACAGGAUGGACGGCAGACUAACUUAUUGUGCAGUUUUUUAAAAAAAAAAAAGACAAGUGUCUUAUCUGAAUGUAAUGUACACAAAGUGUACAUCCUGUUUUUUUUUUAAUCUUUAAACUGGUGUGUGUACUCACCUAGUUGAGGUUGCGGGGGUCGAGUCCGAGCUCCUGGCCCCGCCUCUUCACUGAUCGCUACUAGGUCACUCUCCCUGAGCCGUGAGCUUUAUCAUACCUCUGCUUAAAGCUAUGUAUGGAUCCUGCCUCCACUACAUCACUUCCCAAACUAUUCCACUUACUGACUACUCUGUGGCUGAAGAAAUACUUCCUAACAUCCCUGUGAUUCAUCUGUGUCUUCAGCUUCCAACUGUGUCCCCUUGUUACUGUGUCCAAUCUCUGGAACAUCCUGUCUUUGUCCACCUUGUCAAUUCCUCUCAGUAUUUUGUAUGUCGUUAUCAUGUCCCCCCUAUCUCUCCUGUCCUCCAGUGUCGUCAGGUUGAUUUCCCUUAACCUCUCCUCGUAGGACAUACCUCUUAGCUCUGGAACUAGUCUUGUUGCAAACCUUUGCACUUUCUCUAGUUUCUUCACGUGCUUGGCUAGGUGUGGGUUCCAAACUGGUGCCGCAUACUCCAAUAUGGGCCUAACAUACACGGUGUACAGGGUCCUGAAUGAUUCCUUAUUAAGAUGUCGGAAUGCUGUUCUGAGGUUUGCUAGGCGCCCAUAUGCUGCAGCAGUUAUUUGGUUGAUGUGCGCUUCAGGAGAUGUGCCUGGUGUUAUACUCACCCCAAGAUCUUUUUCCUUGAGUGAGGUUUGUAGUCUCUGGCCCCCUAGACUGUACUCCGUCUGCGGUCUUCUUUGCCCUUCCCCAAUCUUCAUGACUUUGCACUUGGUGGGAUUGAACUCCAGGAGCCAAUUGCUGGACCAGGUCUGCAGCCUGUGUGUGUGUGUGUGUGUGUGUGUGUGUGUGUGUGUGUGUGUGUGUGUGUGUGUGUGUUUGUGUGUGUGUGUGUGUGUGUGUGUGUGUGUGUGUGUGUGUGUGUGUGUGUGUGUGUGUGUGUGUGUGUUUACUCAUUUGUACACACCUAUGUGUGGUUCGAUUUUGGAUUACAAGUCAGUUCUUGUCCACACUUUUUAACCUCGUACACCUGGUUUGGCAGAGCUUCCAGCGUGACGUAUCCACCCUCAAAACUGCGUAUGAUAUGUGUGUGUGUGUGAUUUAUAUUUGCAUGCGCGUGUGGUUUUGCGCGCCGUCUGUGUGUAUGGUAGUGUAAAAAAAAUGGCAUAUCAGCCUUGAGUGAGCUGAUGGUUGAGUGCAAAAGUGUGUCAGGUCCCACACUCGUCACUCUUCUACCAUUCCUCAUUCCCGAUACCUUUGUCCCUGUGUUCAGAGUCUCCCUCACCUUCACUCUCACAUUCACCCUCACCUUCACUCCCUCGUAUGCACUCCUACCACCACUUCACUCCCAUAUGCUUCAUCACCUUCACUCCCAUAUAUGUCAUCACCUUCACUCCCAUAUAAACUGUCAUCUUCACUCACUUAUAAAACUCACGAUGGAAAAGUAGAAACAAAUGCAGUAUAAGGCUAUCCUUUGUUGACAACGUUUCGCACACACAAUGGGUUUUAUCAAGUCACAAACAGAUCUGAGCUCUGCUCAGACCUGAGUACGUGAGUACAUAUACUGAGCAAAAUGACGUGAAGGGCCUGGUGAGGCAUGCUGAAGGCUGAGAAUAUACCUUGAGGUAUAUACUACUCGUUUUAUAUACCUUGUUAUACCUGUGGACGUUUUAUCAAGAGAUGAAUUGGGCUCCCUGGUUGGCCGAGAGACUGAUACUGCCUUGGAUGGUGCCAGACCAGUGGUCAUCACUGCCUCAAUCAACACGUUAUAUUGACACUGCUGUCCAUGCACACGGAUGUCUGCUGGCGUCAGUGCCCUAUCAGGGCUAACCUGACCGUGAAUGUCAUCCUUGUGUACGUUGUUGAAUGGGGUUUAAGGCCUGUCUACUGCACGAGUGCCAUUGAGGCUCCGUGUCACCUGUUCACCACCUAAAUAAAGGACUAAACUCUCAGUAUAUAUACCCUAACAGGCAUACAUUUAUACACAUCUAGGUGUGUAUAUCCUGUUGUCACGUUAGGGCCCUUGUUUAGAGUCAUCAUUACCAGAAAAGAUAAUACUUACCUCGAGUUUCCUGCUGUUCAGUGUUGCUACGUAUAUACCUUGUAGCUGUGCAUAUGCUCCAUUGUUUCUUUGUAUAUUCUCUUUGUAGCUAAGUAUAUGUUCCUUGAAGCUAAGUAUAUGUUCCUUGAAGCUCAGUAUAUGUUCCGUGUAGCUAAGCGUAUGUUGCCUAUAGGUAGGUACAUUAGGGCCGGGGAAGAGGGGUCCGAUUCCUUCCUCAGCUAAAUUGUUCUGAAGUCUUGGUACUGGAACCCAUCCAAGGAAGGAUUCCUGAUGCUGGUAAUGGACUUUUCAUCCAGCGAAUUGGAACCGACAUUCCUUGGAUCGGACCCGAUAAUAAUAAUAAUAAUAAUGGUAUUGGAAACUCGCGACAUGCGUCAAUUCAAUAUUUUUGUUUACGUGUAAUUUUGCGAGUUCUGUAAGAGGGUUCGUGGUUAUCGUAGUUAGACAUUACGAAAGGAUUUACCAAGGGGUUGUGGAUUUCGAAGGGAUUCACUCUUGUUUGGGCUGUAAACAAAAAAAAAAUCCUUCUCCAACUAAAAUACCCCCAUUAUUUCACUGGUAAUCACAACGAAAGUAAAA